Molecule: ribosomal RNA, 253 nt
Filed under: uncultured bacterium
Lineage: Bacteria
Description: partial 16S ribosomal RNA
Rfam family: Bacterial small subunit ribosomal RNA
Source: RNAcentral
UACGGAGGGUGCAAGCGUUGCUCGGAAUUAUUGGGCGUAAAGGGUAGGUAGGUGGUCUUAUUUGUCUGGGGUGAAAUCCUUGAGCUUAACUCAAGAAGUGCCUCAGAAACGGUAGGACUAGAGUUCUAGAGAGGGUCGUGGAAUUCCCGGUGUAGCGGUGAAAUGCGUAGAGAUCGGGAGGAACACCAGAGGCGAAGGCGGCGACCUGGAUAGAUACUGACACUAAACUACGAAAGCGUGGGGAGCAAACAGG